Tympanuchus pallidicinctus (lesser prairie-chicken) is the source of this 2691-nucleotide long non-coding RNA. RefSeq lists it as uncharacterized. The record is from RefSeq and is a predicted model, not a curated record. Lineage: Eukaryota; Metazoa; Chordata; Aves; Galliformes; Phasianidae. The transcript is spliced from 3 exons.
ACCCUCCUGGCAUUGCAUGGUCACCCCUGUGCCACAGCACCAGUCCCAGCUCCCAUCGGGCCCAGCAGGCGCCUCAGAGCCAGACAGAGGGGCUUCAGCACCCAGAGCUCAGCCUUGGCACCCACACCUCACUGCAGUGCCUGGGACUGUCAGGAAGCAUAUCUGUAUGGCUUUUUUUAUGGCUCCAGAUGUGGUUUGUGGGUUCCCAUCUCCGCUGAAUUAUUUGUCUUUUGCUUCUCAUCAGCUGGGCCCACAAAAGGGUGUUCCUGCCAGCUGCAGAGCAGGCCUGAGCCACUCAGCACAUUCCUAUCACACUGCUCCGGGAGCCCGUCUGAUGGCUGGUAACUGGCACUGCGCUAUGUCUGCAGGGAGAGCCAGCCUGGCCCAGCCUGCCGUACUGAGCAGGUUCAGCUGUCACUGUGUGUGUGUCUCUGGGCCUGUCAGAGAGCACUGCGUGUUCAGCUGUGGCUGUGCACCAUGGCUGUGGGAACUGAGCACUGAAAAUCAGGAACCUUCUAUUGGAUUGUAUGUGUCAGGUAAUUCCUGCUCAUGUUAAUCAUCGGCAAAUGUAAAAACGCUUUGAGACUUUGAUAAUCCUUGUGAAACAGCCUACGCUUUGGAGGAUGUAGCUGCCAUCAGAACAAAUCCUAAUAUCUACAAAUUUCUCAUUUAUCGAUGGAAUUCUGCUUCUUUCCUCUAAUCUCCUCUUGGAGAUUUUAUUUAUUGAGAAAACAAGAAACUGUUUUUACUGAUAACAGGUCCAACCCAUACCUCUGGUUCAGAGUAAUACCAGAUACUUAUCUGAGAUCAUCAUCUGCAGUUUUUCAAUUUCAAUGCAUUAGCCCUAACACUCACAAGAGAAAGAAGCAAUUUUAUUCAGAUCUUGUUCCACUGGGCCAAAAUCAACCUUGAGGUUCAACAUUCAGGAUUGUUUUGUUUUGCUUGUUUGGGUUUUUUGUAUCAAAAAUGAUUAGUGUUGACUGAUCCCUACUUUACAGGCUGCCACUUCAAUAGCAAUCCUGCGUGCUCAUUUAUAGACUCAUAGAAUCACAGAAUCACAGCACCAUAGAAUCAUUUGAGUGGAAAGGAAUACUUAAGGGCAGUCUAGUCCAACUCCCCUGCAGUGAACAAGGACACUUACAGCUGGAUCAGGUUGCUCACAGCCCCAUCCAGCCUGACCUUGAGUGUCUCCAGGGAACGGGGCUUCCACCACCUCUCUGAUUGACCUGUUCCAGUGCUUCACCACCCUUACUGUAAAAAUCUUUUUCCCUAUAUCCAGUCUAUCCAUUUAUGGGAAGGAAUAUUUUAGAUGUAGUUGUACUGCCGUGAUGCUCUGACUUUGAACUUUGAUUUCUGCAGGUUCUUUGCCAGAGCAUCCUCACAGCAAGUGAAAGGACAGAGAGCUAUGACUGAAUGGAAAGGCUGACUAAUUACUCCAAAGACAGAAAUCAAACACCAGAGCUCAAGUGGAAGAGAUUACAGUCCUGGAGCCUAAGCUCCCACGUGCAUUUGGUGAAAAGGAGACCUCUUUUAGACAAACCAUCCAUCAGAAUGGCAAAUUACCCCUGAAGUCUCAGCAUUGUGCUACUGAGUUCCUCUAGAAGCAACAGUGAAAAGCACAACCUAUCUGCUAAUUGUUUUACUUCAAUGCCUUUUGCUGAUAUGGAGAGCUUAGAAGAGCUCAGUAGUGGUUUCAAUUACUUGGGUAUAAAUCCAAAAAAUGACAGUGGGGUUGGGCCAGAUUUACAGAGCUGUAAGUGAGAUUUUAAGAAAUGUCUGCGUAGUUUCCUUUCAGGAUCUAUAUCUAAAUGUCUUAAUUAGCCUCUCAAUUCAAGGGUCUAAUUUCCACCACGGUUAAUGAAUUGCAUUUAUACACAGUAGCUAAAUUAUCUUGCCAGUUUUUACGGAAUAUUUUAAAGACUCUUUAUGAGAAAAAAGAGCCUCAAAGUUCUCCAGCUUUGUUUUUCCAAGUCUGAGGACUAAAUAUAGUGUACAUUCCCCAGAAAAUGUGAGUGAUGGGGAUUAGUAAUUCAUGAGUGAUGUGGCCCAUUUACAGCCUUAACAGCACAGAGCUCAUUGUUGCAUGGAGAGGAUCAAACAAAACAACUGGGUUGACUUUCAUGCAUUUAAAACAAUGAGGAAUAAAGGCUUAAUCGGCUAGAACUGCAAAUGCUCUCUCCCUUCCCCCCCCCCCCGUUUAGUUAACACUGAUGAAAAUACUGAAUCAUGGCUAAGAAUUAAGCUGUAAAGUGAAUUUUAAAAGGCAAAAGGGUAAUAAAUAAAAGCUCCAAAGUAUUAGAAGUUGGGGCUCCAAAUGAAUUUGGAUUAUGUAAUAAAGCUGUCAUCUGAUGAAAGAAGAAAUGUCCUCCCCAAACCUAUGGUUGUUUCUGAUUGCUGUGUUUUUAGUCCCUUUUUGAGAGGUACUAUAGGUAGUAGGUGGUCACCAUGAGGAAGUGCUUUGAGUCUGAGCUAUUUAUCAACAGCUGAUUGUUUCCACACCCUUCUCUUUUAUGUGAGAUAGACCUCAGUGCUGGCCCCCCAAAGGGAGGGAUGCCCUGUGCUAUAAGCUGGGCCCCUGGAAGGGCUGCACAGAGGAGCAGAGCAGUGCCCUGAGUGAGGUGACCGUGCUGCAGCCACCUCUGUGCAGUGCUGUCUGUGCAGCCCUCCUGCAGCUCCAGCAAAGGAAUGGCA